Molecule: long non-coding RNA, 247 nt
Organism: Sinocyclocheilus grahami
Lineage: Eukaryota; Metazoa; Chordata; Actinopteri; Cypriniformes; Cyprinidae
Exons: 3
Source: RefSeq, a predicted model, not a curated record
CCGGAACCCAGCCUCCAAACACAUAUAACCUACAACAAGAAGAUAAAGAAGAAAAAUUGAGACAGUAGGAGGGAUGUUCCAGCCUUUAACCCCAGACUGGACCUGCAGCUCCAGCUCAUAGAAGUCAUCUAAAUACCUGCAUAGAGACACAAAUAAACAUCAUCCAUGUAUCAACUGAGCUACAUUAAGUGCUCACCUGCAGUUCAUAGAGGCUGUUGGUAUACUGUCCGAAUUCAACCAUCCCUCC